RNAcentral lists this ribosomal RNA (891 nucleotides) under Platypus contaminatus. RNAcentral describes it as "partial 28S large subunit ribosomal RNA". The stretch from base 260 to 891 matches the Rfam family "Eukaryotic large subunit ribosomal RNA", at positions 1 to 921 of the family's 3401-position model. The record is from RNAcentral. Lineage: Eukaryota; Metazoa; Arthropoda; Insecta; Coleoptera; Curculionidae.
AAGUCGAAGGAAGAAAUUCAUUCGCGUUUCACCAUUGACAUGAUUGUGUAUGCUAGACAAUAAAUGUAUUUCAAAUAUAUCCUUGUGGUGUGUUUAUAUAUAUAUGUUGCUACAUAUCAGUUUUAAGUCUGGUGGUGGACGCGUGCAUUUUUCUUCUGGUAGGACGUUGCGAUCCGUUAGGAUUCAAAUUUAGAUAUCGAUCUAUGAUGUUUUGUGGUUUAGUUCAAUGAUACAUAUUUUAUUAUGRUAAUAUUAUUGAAACCAUACAAUCUGAUCGAUUUACCUGACGGUAAAACAAUGGUUUAUAAGUCGCAUAAUAAUUUCAUUAGCGUUAGGGGUUGGACAAGUAUAUAAAAUUGUGUAAAGGCAAUAUUAUUAUUAUUUAUAGUAGUAGUAUUGUUCUCGGUAAUCGGUAUUUAUAUCAAUUCCGGGCCGUUUAUGUACUGUUGGUCUAACAUAUCUCUAACCGACUUAAUUAUUCAUCAAGAAUAAAACCGAUCUGCAACGCUAUAGCUUUGGGUAAUUUCAGGACCCGUCUUGAAACACGGACCAAGGAGUCUAGCAUGUUCGCAAGCCAUUGGGAAUAAAAAAACCUACAGGCUUAAUGAAAGUAAAAAAAUCACAUACAUUUUUACUAUGUGUGUGUGAAAGGGAAGAUGAAUAAUGAUUUCGCAUCACAUAUACGGUGAUGUGAUACGUUAUUUCGCAUUCCCGGGGCGUUUAAAUUUCAUUUGUUUUUUUUUGACAAAUGAGAUUAUGCGCACCAAGAGUGUACACGCUGGGACCCGAAAGAUGGUGAACUAUGCCUGGUCAGGACGAAGUCAGGGGAAACCCUGAUGGAGGUCCGUAGCGAUUCUGACGUGCAAAUCGAUCGUCGGAACUGGGUAUAGG